RNAcentral lists this ribosomal RNA (239 nucleotides) under uncultured bacterium. Its description in RNAcentral is "partial 16S ribosomal RNA". It matches the Rfam family "Bacterial small subunit ribosomal RNA", at positions 524 to 761 of the family's 1533-position model. The record is from RNAcentral.
UACGUAGGGUGCGAGCGUUAAUCGGAAUUACUGGGCGUAAAGCGUGCGCAGGCGGUUUUGUAAGUCUGUCGUGAAAUCCCCGGGCUCAACCUGGGAAUUGCGAUGGAGACUGCAAGGCUAGAAUCUGGCAGAGGGGGGUAGAAUUCCACGUGUGAGCAGUGAAAUGCGUAGAGAUGUGGAGGAACACCGAUGGCGAAGGCAGCCCCCUGGGUCAAGAUUGACGCUCAUGCACGAAAGCG